CCAAUGGCACUGCCCGGUAGCUAAAUGCGGAAGAGAUAAGUGCUGAAAGCAUCUAAGCACGAAACUUGCCCCGAGAUGAGUUCUCCCUGAGACCUUGAGUCUCCUGAAGGAACGUUGAAGACGACGACGUUGAUAGGUCGGGUGUGUAAGCGCAGCGAUGCGUUGAGCUAACCGAUACUAAUGAACCGUGAGGCUUAACCUU
This 202-nucleotide ribosomal RNA is filed under the name Enterobacter hormaechei. Its description in RNAcentral is "partial 23S ribosomal RNA". It matches the Rfam family "Bacterial large subunit ribosomal RNA", at positions 2729 to 2925 of the family's 2925-position model. Lineage: Bacteria; Pseudomonadati; Pseudomonadota; Gammaproteobacteria; Enterobacterales; Enterobacteriaceae. The record is from RNAcentral.